UUGCACGUAGCCUCCCGGGCUCAUCUGAGUUUAUAAUAGUGAAGUUAGAAGCCCCAAAGCUCGUGCUAAACUUACCCGCCGCUAAGUGUUGCAGUUUAGCUCCUUUGUACCUUUUUUAUUACGGCUAAUCUGUGUCAAAUCAACGGCUACAUCC
RNAcentral lists this small nucleolar RNA (154 nucleotides) under Nicotiana attenuata. RNAcentral describes it as "snoRNA snoR134". It matches the Rfam family "small nucleolar RNA snoR134". Lineage: Eukaryota; Viridiplantae; Streptophyta; Magnoliopsida; Solanales; Solanaceae. The record is from Rfam by way of RNAcentral.